This 73-nucleotide transfer RNA is filed under the name Bacteroidota bacterium. RNAcentral's name for it is "Bacteroidetes bacterium (groundwater metagenome) tRNA-Glu". It matches the Rfam family "tRNA". Rfam says of the family: Transfer RNA (tRNA) molecules are approximately 80 nucleotides in length. The record is from RNAcentral. Lineage: Bacteria; Pseudomonadati; Bacteroidota.
GCCCCUAUCGUCUAGAGGCCUAGGACACGAGCUUUUCAAGCUUGGAACACGAGUUCAAAUCUCGUUGGGGGCA